UUCCAGGUGGUCCAGAGGCUAAGAGUCCGCACUCCCAAUGCAGGGAGCCCAGGAUCGAUUCCUGGCCAGGGAA
RNAcentral lists this transfer RNA (73 nucleotides) under Capra hircus (goat). It matches the Rfam family "tRNA". From Rfam's summary of the family: Transfer RNA (tRNA) molecules are approximately 80 nucleotides in length. Their secondary structure includes four short double-helical elements and three loops (D, anti-codon, and T loops). RNAcentral also lists the same sequence under 1 other name. The record is from Rfam by way of RNAcentral. Lineage: Eukaryota; Metazoa; Chordata; Mammalia; Artiodactyla; Bovidae.